This 27-nucleotide small RNA is filed under the name Bombyx mori (domestic silkworm). Its description in RNAcentral is "ovarian small RNA-30106". Lineage: Eukaryota; Metazoa; Arthropoda; Insecta; Lepidoptera; Bombycidae. The record is from RNAcentral.
UCUUCACAAUUGGAGUUUUUCUUGUGA